UGAGGAAUAUUGGUCAAUGGACGCGAGUCUGAACCAGCCAAGUAGCGUGAAGGAUGACUGCCCUAUGGGUUGUAAACUUCUUUUAUAAGGGAAUAAAGUGAGGGACGUGUCCCUUUUUGUAUGUACCUUAUGAAUAAGGAUCGGCUAACUCCGUGCCAGCAGCCGCGGUAAUACGGAGGAUCCAAGCGUUAUCCGGAUUUAUUGGGUUUAAAGGGAGCGUAGGUUGACAUAUAAGUCAGCUGUGAAAGUUUACGGCUCAACCGUGAAAUUGCAGUUGAUACUGUAUGUCUUGAGUGUACAAGAGGUGGGCGGAAUUCGUGGUGUAGCGGUGAAAUGCUUAGAUAUCACGAAGAACUCCAAUUGCGAAGGCAGCUCACUGGGGUACAACUGACACUGAGGCUCGAAAGUGUGGGUAUCAAACAGG
This 424-nucleotide ribosomal RNA is filed under the name uncultured bacterium. Its description in RNAcentral is "bacterial SSU rRNA". It matches the Rfam family "Bacterial small subunit ribosomal RNA", at positions 355 to 776 of the family's 1533-position model. The record is from RNAcentral.